UAGUCUGGGAAACUGCCUGAUGGAGGGGGAUAACUGCUGGAAACGGUAGCUAAUACCGCAUAACGUCGCAAGACCAAAGAGGGGGACCUUCGGGCCUCAUGCCAUCAGAUGUGCCCAGAUGGGAUUAGCUAGUAGGUGGGGUAAUGGCUCACCUAGGCGACGAUCCCUAGCUGGUCUGAGAGGAUGACCAGCCACACUGGAACUGAGACACGGUCCAG
Molecule: ribosomal RNA, 218 nt
Filed under: uncultured bacterium
Lineage: Bacteria
Description: partial 16S ribosomal RNA
Rfam family: Bacterial small subunit ribosomal RNA
Source: RNAcentral